RNAcentral lists this ribosomal RNA (475 nucleotides) under uncultured bacterium. Its description in RNAcentral is "bacterial SSU rRNA". It matches the Rfam family "Bacterial small subunit ribosomal RNA", at positions 335 to 802 of the family's 1533-position model. The record is from RNAcentral.
ACUCCUACGGGAGGCAGCAGUGGGGAAUAUUGCACAAUGGGCGCAAGCCUGAUGCAGCCAUGCCGCGUGUAUGAAGAAGGCCUUCGGGUUGUAAAGUACUUUCAGCAGUGAGGAAGGUGGAUAUGUUAAUAGUCAUAUUCAUUGACGUUUAGCUGCAGAAGAAGCACCGGCUAACUCCGUGCCAGCAGCCGCGGUAAUACGGAGGGUGCGAGCGUUAAUCGGAAUUACUGGGCGUAAAGCGCAUGCAGGUGGUUUGUUAAGUCAGAUGUGAAAGCCCGGGGCUCAACCUCGGAAUUGCAUUUGAAACUGGCAAACUAGAGUACUGUAGAGGGGGGUAGAAUCUCAGGUGUAGCGGUGAAAUGCGUAGAGAUCUGAAGGAAUACCGGUGGCGAAGGCGGCCCCCUGGACAGAUACUGACACUCAGAUGCGAAAGCGUGGGGAGCAAACAGGAUUAGAUACCCUGGUAGCUACGAGU